RNAcentral lists this ribosomal RNA (253 nucleotides) under uncultured bacterium. Its description in RNAcentral is "partial 16S ribosomal RNA". It matches the Rfam family "Bacterial small subunit ribosomal RNA", at positions 524 to 776 of the family's 1533-position model. The record is from RNAcentral.
UACGAAGGGGGCUAGCGUUGUUCGGGUUUACUGGGCGUAAAGCGCGUGUAGGCGGAUCGUUAAGUCGGGGGUGAAAGCCCAGAGCUCAACUCUGGAAUUGCCUUCGAUACUGGCGGUCUGGAGCAGAGAAGAGGCGGGUGGAAUUCCGAGUGUAGAGGUGAAAUUCGUAGAUAAUCGGAGGAACACCAGUGGCGAAGGGGACUCGCUGGUCUCUUGCUGACGCUGAGACGCGAAAGCGUGGGGAGCAAACAGG